UAGGGAAUCUUCGGCAAUGGACGAAAGUCUGACCGAGCAACGCCGCGUGAGUGAAGAAGGUUUUCGGAUCGUAAAACCCUGUUGUUAGAGAAGAACAAGGACGUUAGUAACUGAACGUCCCCUGACGGUAUCUAACCAGAAAGCCACGGCUAACUACGUGCCAGCAGCCGCGGUAAUACGUAGGUGGCAAGCGUUGUCCGGAUUUAUUGGGCGUAAAGCGAGCGCAGGCGGUUUCUUAAGUCUGAUGUGAAAGCCCCCGGCUCAACCGGGGAGGGUUGUUGGAAACUGGGAGACUUGAGUGCAGAAGAGGAGAGUGGAAUUCCAUGUGUAGCGGUGAAAUGCGUAGAUAUAUGGAGGAACACCAGUGGCGAAGGCGGCUCUCUGGUCUGUAACUGACGCUGAGGCUCGAAAGCGUGGGGAGCAAACAGG
This 429-nucleotide ribosomal RNA is filed under the name Acidobacteriota bacterium. RNAcentral's name for it is "Acidobacteria bacterium partial 16S ribosomal RNA". It matches the Rfam family "Bacterial small subunit ribosomal RNA", at positions 355 to 776 of the family's 1533-position model. Lineage: Bacteria; Pseudomonadati; Acidobacteriota. The record is from RNAcentral.